This 65-nucleotide transfer RNA is filed under the name Trigonopterus jasminae. RNAcentral's name for it is "tRNA-His". The record is from RNAcentral. Lineage: Eukaryota; Metazoa; Arthropoda; Insecta; Coleoptera; Curculionidae.
AUUUAAAUAGUUUAAUAAAAAUUUCAAUUUGUGGGAUUGAAGAUAUGAGUUAUUCAUUUUAAAUA